CAUUAAGAAGCUAAACUCAGCAUUAACCUUUUAAGUUAAAGAUUGGAAAACAUGAAUUUCCCUUAAUGA
Molecule: transfer RNA, 69 nt
Filed under: Pontoporia blainvillei (franciscana)
Lineage: Eukaryota; Metazoa; Chordata; Mammalia; Artiodactyla; Pontoporiidae
Description: transfer RNA-Lys
Source: RNAcentral